This 871-nucleotide ribosomal RNA is filed under the name uncultured archaeon. RNAcentral's name for it is "bacterial SSU rRNA". It matches the Rfam family "Archaeal small subunit ribosomal RNA", at positions 1 to 879 of the family's 1478-position model. The record is from RNAcentral.
UUCCGGUUGAUCCUGCCGGAGGCUACCGCUAUUGGAAUCCGAUUAAGCCAUGCGAGUCGAGGGAUUUCGGAUCUCGGCAGACGUCUCAGUAACACGUGGAUAAUCUACCCUUGAGUGGGGGAUAAGCUUGGAAACCUGAGUAUAAUACCCCAUAGGCCUAGGAUGCUGGAAUGCUUCUAGGCUGAAAGCUCCGGCGCUCGAGGAUGAAUCUGCGGCCUAUCAGGCAGUAGUGGGUGUAACGGACCCACUAACCUUCGACGGGUACGGGCCUUGAGAGAGGUUGCCCGGAGUUGGACUCUGAGACACGAGUCCAGGCCCUACGGGGUGCAGCAGGCGCGAAAACUUCACAAUGUGGGAAACCACGAUGAGGGGAUUCCAAGUGCCAACACUUUGUGUUGGCUGUUCACUUGCCUAAAAAGCUGGUGAAGUAAGAGCCGGGUAAGACGGGUGCCAGCCGCCGCGGUAAUACCCGCGGCUCGAGUGGUGGCCACUAUUAUUGAGCCUAAAGCGUUCGUAGCCGGUUUCGUAAAUUUCUGGGUAAAUCGGGCAGCUUAACUGUCCGAAUUCCGGAAAGACUGCGAAACUUGGGACCGGAGGAGGUUGGAGGUACUCCUGGGGUAGGGGUGAAAUCCUGUAAUCCUGGGGGGACCACCAGUGGCGAAGGCGUCCAACCAAAACGGCUCCGACGGUAAGGGACGAAGCCCUGGGGCGCAAACGGGAUUAGAUACCCCGGUAGUCCAGGGUGUAAACGCUGCAGGCUUGGUGUUGGGGGUCCUACGAGGGCGCCCAGUGCCGGAGAGAAGUUGUUAAGCCUGCCGCUUGGGGAGUACGUCCGCAAGGAUGAAACUUAAAGGAAUUGGCGGGGGAGCAC